Pan troglodytes (chimpanzee) is the source of this 1505-nucleotide long non-coding RNA. RefSeq lists it as uncharacterized. The transcript has 3 exons. Lineage: Eukaryota; Metazoa; Chordata; Mammalia; Primates; Hominidae. The record is from RefSeq and is a predicted model, not a curated record.
GGGGAUCCAGGUGGGUGAAACCCCAGCACCUGCACCGAGCCCCAUCCCCCUCAGACCAGGCUUUAGGAAUCUGUGUCUCGGGCCAGACAGCUUCUAUGAGCCCUUCCACCCAAGACCCUUGACUCUCACCCAGGCUCCUACUGAGGUGGCAGGGCCAAGAGACUCUUGAUGAGAUCAAGGGAUGGGGCACUGGGUGUGAGGGGCUAGACGGCCCCUUGCUGUGAUCCCUUUUACACACUGCAGACUGCUCGAGGAGGCAGAAGCCUAAUGGGCAGCCUCCACCCCUCCCAGCCCCACCCCCAGGGUUCUCACACCAGCCCCAGCCCCACCCCCACUCCUGGGUUGCCCAGGGGCCCAGCAGCAGCACAAGCCAGCUUCCUCCCCUCCGGCCUCAGUCCUCUUACCUCUUCAGGCUCGUCCAAGAUCGACAUCCAUCCCUUCUUGAAGUUGAGCAGAUCGGGCUGUGGGGAGAUGAGGAGGGAGAGAUGGGGUCUCCCUAUGUUUCCCAGGUUGGUUUCAAACUCCUGAGCUCAAGUGAUCCGCUCACCUCGGCCUCCAAAAAUGCUGGGAUUAUAGGUGUGAGCCAAUGUGCCCGGCCAACCAAUUCCAUCUCCACCUGACAAGGCCCUAUAAUCACAGGAGGACACCUCCCUCAGGAAGGCUGCUGCCACCAGCAGGGAUGUGCUGUCCAUCUUCCAAGCACCCCACACGCUGCUUCCGGCAGCCUUACCCUUGCUCAGCACGUGCUGCCCCCAGGACAGGCAACUGUGAAAGAAAGCUGGAACGGACCUGGAUACAAAUUCUGGCUUAGCCUGGGACUCACUGAGUUACCUGGGGCAUGACACUUCACCUCGCCACACCUUGGUUUCCUCAUCUGUUUGAUUAAGAUGUUACUACCAACCUUCAAGGAUCAAAUCUGGUAACGUGAAAGCACCCGGCUGAGGGCCGGGCAGGCACCCGGUGGGCAAGGCAACCUCUCUCCUCCUGGCCCCAGGACACUGACUCAGCUCCUCCCCCCACAUCCCUUCUACUCCUGACAGAAAAGGGGAGGCUGCUGACGACAGGAAGGGCCAGCAGGGAGGUGGCAGGAUGUCCAGGAGGACGCCGAGGAAGUCCAGACCAUCACACUCACAGGGCAGGGGCUAGGCGUGCCACGCCCCCCAGCAGCCCAGCCCACUCCUCCGCAGGGUCUCCACGCCCCUGAAAGAGGCCUACUGCCGCCUGUGCACACACACACCCUGCUCAUCCUCCCCCAGCAGGGCCACUGGGCUGUCAGAGCCUCCUUGAAGCACUAGCCAGAAACCAAAAGCAGCCCCACCCCUCCCUUCCUGAACAUCACGGUCAGUGGGCCAGAAGGACAGGGAAAGGAGCUACUCCUUCCCUUAUACUUGGGGUGACCUCGGGCAACUCACCAGCGCCCCUCCCCAAGCCUCAGUUUAUCUGGCUGUGAAGUGGGGAGUCCAGCGAACCCAGCUGUGAGGCUCAAUAUGCUAACUAUGGCACAG